Long non-coding RNA from Hibiscus syriacus, 1256 nucleotides. RefSeq lists it as uncharacterized. The record is from RefSeq and is a predicted model, not a curated record. The transcript has 4 exons. Lineage: Eukaryota; Viridiplantae; Streptophyta; Magnoliopsida; Malvales; Malvaceae.
UGUUGCAGGCUCUACACUUUGAAUUCUUAGCUUUUGUGAGCAUUGGGAUUUUACACGAGUCUGGCUGCUACGAAUUGUUCAGUGUCGAAGGCUGGUCCUUGCGUCUCAUUUAAAUCUGGAUGUGUUGACUGCUGACUAGCAGAUGUUUUGUUGAUUGUUUCUAUAAUGGUUGAGUAUUUUGGAUGAUAGUAAUCGAAAGGUAGAUAGGUUCAGAAAUUCAAGUGUUCAGUCUUUAUGUCCUAUCAGCCAUGGAAUGUAACAAAGAGGAGGCUAUUAGAGCAAAGGUAAUCGCUGAACAGAAGAUGCAAAAUGGUGAUUUCGAGGCUGCAAAUAAGUUUGCAUUGAGGGCACAGAAAUUGUUCCCUGAGCUUGACAACAUAACCCAAUUGUUGGCAGUCUGUAAUGUUCACUAUUUGCAAAACACAACAUAUACGGGUCAGAAAAGGAUUGGUAUGGGAUUCUUCAAACCAAACAGUCAGCUGAUGAGAGUUUAAUCAAGAAGCAGUUUAGAAAGCUUGCACUAUUGCUUCAUCCAGACAAGAAUAAAUUUCCUGGUGCUGAGGCUGCUUUUAAGCUAAUUGGGGAAGCAAACAGGGUACUUUCAGACCAAAUGGCACGUUAUCAAUAUGAUUUGAAGUGUAGAGCCUCAGUGAAAACUAUACCAAAGCCAACAUCUCACCCAUCGAAUAAGGCAUCCACUGUAUAGUAAGUCUGGUUUUUCUAACAACUACAAGAAUUGUUCUUCAAAUUUCACAGCUUCGAACGUCUAUCAGCAAGCAAAAUUUCAUCUAACAUUUUGGACCCUCUGCAAUGCUUGUGGUUUCAAGUUCCAGUGUGACAAAGAUUUUGUGAACAGGAUGUUACGUUGUCUUUCAUGUGGAUCUAUCUUCAUUGCCCAUGACUUGGGUCCUCAGGGAUACUCUUGGAAUCAGUUCUCCAAUGAUGUCCCAUGUAACUCAUCUUCGCAUUACAAUAGUGUUAAGCCUUCUGGUGUCCACGUCCCACAUAUAUUUGCCGGGUCUGCUCCCAUUCCAAAGGCAGGAAGCUCUCAGGUUGGUUGUUCUAAGAAACAAGAGAAAGUAGGGGUUAAAAUGCACCAGUCUAAGGAGGGGUUCACAGCUCAGAAAGUAGAUGAGAGUUCAAACAUGAGAGAUAGAAAGAAAGGUGUUGAAAAGCAUAAGCCCACUGCCUCAAAGCCGAAGGAAUCAUGAACUUCAAGAAAUGCCAAUAAGAAGAGAGGGUGGAAGUCCGUAGAA